GACAGAGGGGGCAAGCGUUGCUCGGAAUUACUGGGCGUAAAGGGCGCGUAGGCGGAAUGGCAAGUCGGUCGUGAAAUCCUUCGGCUCAACCGAAGAACGUCGAUCGAAACUGCCGUUCUUGAGGAUUGCAGAGGAGACUGGAAUUCCCGGUGUAGCGGUGAAAUGCGCAGAUAUCGGGAGGAACACCAAUUGCGAAGGCAGCUCGCUGGGACGUCACUGACGCUAAGACGCGAAAGCGUGGGGAGCAAACAGG
Molecule: ribosomal RNA, 253 nt
Filed under: uncultured bacterium
Lineage: Bacteria
Description: partial 16S ribosomal RNA
Rfam family: Bacterial small subunit ribosomal RNA
Source: RNAcentral